AUUCUGGUUGAUCCUGCCAGUAGUUAUAUGCUUGUCUCAAAGAUUAAGCCAUGCAUGUCUAAGUACACACGAAUUAAAAGUGAAACCGCAAAAGGCUCAUUAUAUCAGUUAUGGUUCCUUAGAUCGUUAACAGUUACUUGGAUAACUGUGGUAAUUCUAGAGCUAAUACAUGCAAUUAAAACAUGAACCUUAUGGGACAUGUGCUUUUAUUAGGCUAAAACCAAGCGAUCGCAAGAUCGUUAUAUUGGUUGAACUCUAGAUAACAUGCAGAUCGUAUGGUCUUGUACCGACGACAGAUCUUUCAAAUGUCUGCCCUAUCAACUUUUGAUGGUAGUAUCUAGGACUACCAUGGUUGCAACGGGUAACGGGGAAUCAGGGUUCGAUUCCGGAGAGGGAGCCUGAGAAACGGCUACCACAUCUAAGGAAGGCAGCAGGCGCGUAAAUUACCCACUCCCAGCUCGGGGAGGUAGUGACGAAAAAUAACAAUACAGGACUCAUAUCCGAGGCCCUGUAAUUGGAAUGAGUACACUUUAAAUCCUUUAACAAGGACCAAUUGGAGGGCAAGUCUGGUGCCAGCAGCCGCGGUAAUUCCAGCUCCAAUAGCGUAUAUUAAAGUUGUUGCGGGUUAAACCGUUCGUAGUUGAACUUGUGCUUCAUACGGGUAGUACAACUUACAAUUGUGGGUUAGUACUAUACCUUUAUGUAUAUAAGCGAAUUACCGGUGGAGUUCUUAUAUGUGAUUAAAUACUUGUAUUUUUUCAUAUGUUCCUCCUAUUUAAAACCUGCACUAGUGCUCUUAAACGAGUGUUAUUGUGGGCCGGUACUAUUACUUUGAACAAAUUAGAGUGCUUAAAGCAGGCUUCAAAUGCCUGAAUAUUCUGUGAAUGGGGUAAUGAAAUAAGACCUCUGUUCUGCUUUCAUUGGUUUUCAGAUCAAGAGGUAAUGAUUAAUAGAAACAGUUUGGGCGCAUUACUAUUACGACGCGAGACGUGAAAUUCUUGGACCGUACCUGUUGGGUUGUCCCAUUAUAAGGACACUAGCUUCUUAAAUGGACAAAUUGCGUCUAGCAAUAAUGAGAUUGAGCAAUAACAGAGGUGUGCAUGUCCUGGGCUGCACGAACGCUACAAUGAAAGUAUCAACGUGUAUUUCCUAGACCGAGAAGUCCGGGUAAGCCGCUGAACCACUUUCAUGCUUGGGAUUGUGAACUGAAACUGUUCACAUGAACUCGGAAUUCCCAGUAUGUGUGAGUCAUUAACUCGCAUUGAUUACGACGUCCCUGCCCUUUGUACACACCGCCCGUCGCUACUUCCGAUUGAAUUAUUUAGUGAGGUCACUGGACGUGAUCACUGUGACGCCUUGCGUGUUACGGUUGUUUCGCAAAAGUUGACCGAACUUGAUUAUUUAGAGGAAGUAAAAGUCGUAACAAGGUUUCCGUAGGGGAACCUGCGGAAGGAUCAUUA
Drosophila sechellia is the source of this 1460-nucleotide non-coding RNA. The record is from Rfam. Lineage: Eukaryota; Metazoa; Arthropoda; Insecta; Diptera; Drosophilidae.